CAGUCGCCGCGGGAAUACGAAGGGUGCAAGCGUUAAUCGGAAUUACUGGGCGUAAAGCGUGCGCAGGCGGUUUGUUAAGACAGAUGUGAAAUCCCCGGGCUCAACCUGGGAACUGCAUUUGUGACUGGCAAGCUAGAGUGUGGCAGAGGGGGGUGGAAUUCCGCGUGUAGCAGUGAAAUGCGUAGAUAUGCGGAGGAACACCGAUGGCGAAGGCAGCCCCCUGGGCCAACACUGACGCUCAUGCACGAAAGCGUGGGGAGCAAACAGGAUUAGAUACCCGUGUAGUCCCUGUCUCUUAUAC
Molecule: ribosomal RNA, 301 nt
Filed under: uncultured bacterium
Lineage: Bacteria
Description: partial 16S ribosomal RNA
Rfam family: Bacterial small subunit ribosomal RNA
Source: RNAcentral